GAUGAACGCUGGCGGCGUGCCUAAUACAUGCAAGUCGAGCGAACAGACGAGGAGCUUGCUCCUCUGACGUUAGCGGCGGACGGGUGAGUAACACGUGGAUAACCUACCUAUAAGACUGGGAUAACUUCGGGAAACCGGAGCUAAUACCGGAUAAUAUAUUGAACCGCAUGGUUCAAUAGUGAAAGACGGUUUUGCUGUCACUUAUAGAUGGAUCCGCGCCGCAUUAGCUAGUUGGUAAGGUAACGGCUUACCAAGGCAACGAUGCGUAGCCGACCUGAGCGGGUGAUCGGCCACACUGGAACUGAGACACGGUCCAGACUCCUACGGGAGGCAGCAGUAGGGAAUCGUCCGAAAUGGGCGAAAGCCUGACGGAGCAACGCCGCGUGAGUGAUGAAGGUCUUCGGAUCGUAAAACUCUGUUAUUAGGGAAGAACAAAUGUGUAAGUAACUAUGCACGUCUUGACGGUACCUAAUCAGAAAGCCACGGCUAACUACGUG
RNAcentral lists this ribosomal RNA (497 nucleotides) under uncultured bacterium. RNAcentral describes it as "partial 16S ribosomal RNA". It matches the Rfam family "Bacterial small subunit ribosomal RNA", at positions 28 to 507 of the family's 1533-position model. The record is from RNAcentral.